This 636-nucleotide ribosomal RNA is filed under the name Herbaspirillum huttiense. RNAcentral's name for it is "bacterial SSU rRNA". It matches the Rfam family "Bacterial small subunit ribosomal RNA", at positions 60 to 689 of the family's 1533-position model. Lineage: Bacteria; Pseudomonadati; Pseudomonadota; Betaproteobacteria; Burkholderiales; Oxalobacteraceae. The record is from RNAcentral.
AGUCGAACGGCAGCAUAGGAGCUUGCUCCUGAUGGCGAGUGGCGAACGGGUGAGUAAUAUAUCGGAACGUGCCCUAGAGUGGGGGAUAACUAGUCGAAAGACUAGCUAAUACCGCAUACGAUCUACGGAUGAAAGUGGGGGAUCGCAAGACCUCAUGCUCCUGGAGCGGCCGAUAUCUGAUUAGCUAGUUGGUGGGGUAAAAGCCUACCAAGGCAACGAUCAGUAGCUGGUCUGAGAGGACGACCAGCCACACUGGGACUGAGACACGGCCCAGACUCCUACGGGAGGCAGCAGUGGGGAAUUUUGGACAAUGGGGGCAACCCUGAUCCAGCAAUGCCGCGUGAGUGAAGAAGGCCUUCGGGUUGUAAAGCUCUUUUGUCAGGGAAGAAACGGUAGUAGCGAAUAACUAUUACUAAUGACGGUACCUGAAGAAUAAGCACCGGCUAACUACGUGCCAGCAGCCGCGGUAAUACGUAGGGUGCAAGCGUUAAUCGGAAUUACUGGGCGUAAAGCGUGCGCAGGCGGUUGUGUAAGUCAGAUGUGAAAUCCCCGGGCUCAACCUGGGAAUUGCAUUUGAGACUGCACGGCUAGAGUGUGUCAGAGGGGGGUAGAAUUCCACGUGUAGCAGUGAAAUGC